This 1334-nucleotide long non-coding RNA is filed under the name Chinchilla lanigera (long-tailed chinchilla). RNAcentral describes it as "lncRNA (ENSCLAG00000028829.1)". Lineage: Eukaryota; Metazoa; Chordata; Mammalia; Rodentia; Chinchillidae. The record is from RNAcentral.
UGCAUAGGAAAUGUUAACUCUCCAGCUUGUAUUGAACCACCAGCUCCUCAUAGAUGUGCUCAGGAGACUCUGUGGAGGGUCUAGGUCACUACUUCCUAAGUGAGCGACCACCUGUGCAGAAAUCAGGACAGCAGAUUCUUACUGUCAGAGGAUUAGGAGAAAGAGCCCCAGGCCUGGCACUUCCUCCGUGCUGUCACUGGCCACAUUCAUUCAUCAUCGUGGUGCCAGGCGGGUCAGUUCCCACCCUCGCCCUAACACUGCUCUCCUCAGGAGUCCCCGCUGUGCCAGGAGGAUUCCAGGGACCAGGAACACAGAGCUCACUCCAGGGGCCAGGAUGGUUCUGGGAAAUUUCCAUCUGACCUACUUCUUCACAGAAUUCAAGAUAAAGAAAACUGGGCAGCAUGAGAUGAAGACAUAGAAAUUGCUUGGAGUUUGUGAGCUUUUGUCGUCCAAAGGAAGGGAACUGUGUUGAAGAACAUUCAUUUUAAGGACAGUACAUCUGCAGUCAUGCAAAGGAUCACAGCUUGUAUAAAGCAAUAUCAUCAACAGCAUCAUUAUGGUCAUUCAAGACAUAGACCCCAGUGAUCCAUCUGAGCUAUGUUGUGUGCAGAAAACAACGAUUAAACCAUGGUAUAUUGUAGGGGUGCUCCAGAUGAUAGGUGGUGUGGCACUGAAUGUCCUGUGGGCAGUAGUCAUUUCCAACUCAUCUCAUUAUGAACUUUCUAUGAAACAGUCAGACCCUGUAUUGCCGUACAUCUAUCUCUUGGUGCCUCUCAUUUAUGUCUCAUCAGGAAUUCUGACCGUUAUGGCUGAAAACACACAGAAUAUCAAUGUGAUUGUGGCCUUCAUAUUGGUAAAAUUUGUGAGCUUUCUAGCUUCGCUGGCAUUCACAGUAAUGCAUGGUGCAAAUUCAUUUGCAUUUGCACGGAUGAAAGCUAUAUUCCCUGCAGACAUCGCAUCUUUCGUCCUCACACUGUUUGAGUUCAUCUUGUCUCUUUGCCUCUACUUUGCUGCUGGUUACUCUGAAGAGACAAGAAACUCACCCCAAAUCUUCAGCUCAUGAUGAAAUAAGGUUGAACUCUGCAUAUCUGCAUAAGACCAAGACUAAUUUAUGUGGCUGUCCUGAGGUGGUUUGAGAGAAUACCUUCAUGUGCUUUUCUUUAUCUUUUUUACUGUUGCAUCAUCUGGGAUAUCUUUAUCUAUACAAUAAAGAGGAGUGGAAGUCUUCUCAGGAGAAUAAUUGUUACUAAUUGUUUGAUGCUGACUUUUCUGUGGUUUGCUUUCUACCCUCAAUGUGAAUACCUCUGAGGAUGAGGACAGAACUUAAAUUGCUU